CCUACGGGGGGCUGCAGUGGGGAAUAUUGGACAAUGGGCGCAAGCCUGAUCCAGCAAUGCCGCGUGUGUGAAGAAGGCCUUCGGGUUGUAAAGCACUUUUAUCAGGAACGAAAAGCGUUGGAUUAAUACUCUGACGUGCUGACGGUACCUGAGGAAUAAGCACCGGCUAACUUCGUGCCAGCAGCCGCGGUAAUACGAAGGGUGCAAGCGUUAAUCGGAAUUACUGGGCGUAAAGCGUGCGUAGAUGGUUCGCUAAGUCGGAUGUGAAAGCCCCGGGCUCAACCUGGGAACUGCAUCCGAUACUGGCGGACUAGAGUGUGAUAGAGGAUGGCGGAAUUCCCGGUGUAGCGGUGAAAUGCGUAGAGAUCGGGAGGAACAUCCGUGGCGAAGGCGGCCAUCUGGAUCAACACUGACGUUGAGGCACGAAAGCGUGGGGAGCAAACAGGCUUAGAUACCCGGGUAGUC
RNAcentral lists this ribosomal RNA (465 nucleotides) under uncultured Lysobacteraceae bacterium. RNAcentral's name for it is "bacterial SSU rRNA". It matches the Rfam family "Bacterial small subunit ribosomal RNA", at positions 338 to 795 of the family's 1533-position model. The record is from RNAcentral. Lineage: Bacteria; Pseudomonadati; Pseudomonadota; Gammaproteobacteria; Lysobacterales; Lysobacteraceae.